CCCCUGGCAAGCUAACUCUAACCCCCAGUCACCAUCCCUCAGCCCUACAGGUCAGUCAGUCCCCUGGCAAGCUAACUCUAACCCCCAGUUACCAUCCCUCAGCCCUACAGGUCAGUCAGUCCCCUGGCAAGCUAACUCUAACCCCCAGUUACCAUCCCUCAGCCCUACAGGUCAGUCAGUCCCCUGGCAAGCUAACUCUAACCCCCAGUUACCAUCCCUCAGCCCUACAGGUCAGUCAGUCCCCUGGCAAGCUAACUCUAACCCCCAGUCACCAUCCCUCAGCCCUACAGGUCAGUCAGUCCCCUGGCAAGCUAACUCUAACCCCCAGUCACCAUCCCUCAGCCCUACAGGUCAGUCAGUCCCCUGGCAAGCUAACUCUAACCCCCAGUCACCAUCCCUCAGCCCUACAGGUCAGUCAGUCCCCUGGCAAGCUAACUCUAACCCCCAGUCACCAUCCCUCAGCCCUACAGGUCAGUCAGUCCCCUGGCAAGCUAACUCUAACCCCCAGUCACCAUCCCUCAGCCCUACAGGUCAGUCAGUCCCCUGGCAAGCUAACUCUAACCCCCAGUCACCAUCCCUCAGCCCUACAGGUCAGUCAGUCCCCUGGCAAGCUAACUCUAACCCCCAGUCACCAUCCCUCAGCCCUACAGGUCAGUCAGUCCCCUGGCUAGUCAACCCCUAGUUACUCUUCAAUCCAUCACCCGCUCAGCUUUCAAGGCUAGCAAAAUAUAAUUUAUUGAUUCCAAAUAGGUGCCUACCACCUAGGCACUCCUGCAGAUCUAAAAGGAUUGGAUAGAUUUAAGCA
Oncorhynchus masou masou (cherry salmon) is the source of this 805-nucleotide long non-coding RNA. RefSeq lists it as uncharacterized. Lineage: Eukaryota; Metazoa; Chordata; Actinopteri; Salmoniformes; Salmonidae. The transcript is spliced from 3 exons. The record is from RefSeq and is a predicted model, not a curated record.